AUGCAGAGAUGGAGAAGCAGAGCGCCAAGAAGGCGAGGACGGCUCCCGCCUCCCGUGAAAGGGGGCCCGGUAAACGAGCCCCGGGUGGAGGAAGAAGAUCAAUCCGCCGGCUCUUACACAAUCGAGGCGGAGGCGCUGCGAUGUGACAUCUGCUUCAAGCCUUUCGGAGAGCAGAUCUUCAUGAACGGGCACCCUGCCUGCGGGAGCUGCUGCCUCAUCAUGGACCGGAUGUGCUUCUGCACCGAACCCAUCGGCGACAUCCGCUGCCGGGCGCUGGAGAAGGUCCUGGCGGCCAUGACUGACCUACGGCUGCCACCAGAUCGUCACCUACACCGAGAGGCGGCGCCACGAGGAGGCGUGCCGGUACGCGCCGUACCACUGCCCCUUCGAAGGCUGCACCUACUACGGCCUGCUGCUGUACAACCACAUCGAGGACCUCCACGCGUCAGACGACGACGAGGCAGCGGUGGUCGUGCGCUGCAACCGGCGCUCGGCCGUCACGCUGGAGAAGGCCAUGCCCUUCCGCGUGCUCCUGCACCGCGACGGCGCCAGCAUGUUCCUCCUGCUCAACGGCGGCGACGUCCUGGCCGGCCGCUCGCUGUCGCUCGUCUGCAUGGGCCCUCGCCCCACCGGGAACGCCGAGGUGAAGUACAAGAUGGAGGUGAAGAAGCGGAACGACCCGGGGGCGCUCGUGCUGUGGAGCUCCGGGGCCGCGCCCUUCGUCCGGCGGCUCAAGGAUUUCCAGGCCAGAGGGUUCCUCUUCGUGCCCAGCUCCUACUGGGACUCCUCCGACAGCGUCUCGGUCACGGUGCACCUCACCGACGGCUGGUGAUCGAUCGAGCACGGUCGGUGACGCUGCACUCCGGUUUGGUUUCGCUGAUGGCUAGUUAG
Molecule: ribosomal RNA, 891 nt
Filed under: Triticum aestivum (bread wheat)
Lineage: Eukaryota; Viridiplantae; Streptophyta; Magnoliopsida; Poales; Poaceae
Description: partial small subunit ribosomal RNA
Source: RNAcentral